AGCGAACGCUGGCGGCAGGCCUAACACAUGCAAGUCGAACGAACUCUUCGGAGUUAGUGGCGGACGGGUGAGUAACACGUGGGAACGUGCCUUUUGGUUCGGAAUAACUCAGGGAAACUUGUGCUAAUACCGAAUGUGCCCUUCGGGGGAAAGAUUUAUCGCCAUUAGAGCGGCCCGCGUCUGAUUAGCUAGUUGGUGAGGUAACGGCUCACCAAGGCGACGAUCAGUAGCUGGUCUGAGAGGAUGACCAGCCACACUGGGACUGAGACACGGCCCAGACUCCUACGGGAGGCAGCAGUGGGGAAUCUUGCGCAAUGGGCGAAAGUCUGACGCAGCCAUGCCGCGGGAAUGAUGAAGGUCGUAGGAUUGUAAAAUUCUUUCACCGGGGACGAUAAUGACGGUACCCGGAGAAGAAGCCCCGGCUAACUUCGUG
This 433-nucleotide ribosomal RNA is filed under the name uncultured bacterium. RNAcentral describes it as "partial 16S ribosomal RNA". It matches the Rfam family "Bacterial small subunit ribosomal RNA", at positions 29 to 507 of the family's 1533-position model. The record is from RNAcentral.